This is a long non-coding RNA of Girardinichthys multiradiatus, 2259 nucleotides long. RefSeq lists it as uncharacterized. The record is from RefSeq and is a predicted model, not a curated record. The transcript is spliced from 3 exons. Lineage: Eukaryota; Metazoa; Chordata; Actinopteri; Cyprinodontiformes; Goodeidae.
AGGUUCAAAUGUAUCCAAAGUGUUUUAUAUUUGUAAAUUUAUCAAAACAUGAGUUUGUGACUUUCUAGGAAGGAACCUGUAUUAUAUUUGGAGAGGAGAUCCAGAGAGAAAAAACUAAAGGACUGAUAUGUGCCUGCAAUGUAUGAAGGAAGAAGCAGUGGAGCAUAAUCUGACUCCUCCACAUCCAACGUGGAUGAGAUGUUGCUCGUGUCUUUCCCAGUGAGCCGUCCCACAACGCCGCACUCAGAGCCGGGAAGCAGCAGGGAGCAGCCCGGACUCAGACGCACUGCAGUAGACGGGUUUGCUGUAAGUGAUGACUGACCCGAUGACUUUAUAAAAGAAUAGCAUGGCUGCACUUGACGACGACUUCCCAAGUGCUCGUCAUCACCUGUGGAUUAUGUUUCCAUGGUAGCACACAACAUUACAACUGUUGCGACAUGUCGGACUUGUCCGCCCCGACGUUAAGCGGCCUUCUCACAGAAGAGCAGGACGUGCAAAAAACGAGGACCGCAGCAGCCGAGUUUUACCGGAUCAACGGAGUUCCGGGGAUAAUAGAGGAUAAUAGAGAUAGCUCUGAAUGAGCUCUUCCUCCAGCAGCCUGCAGACAUUCAUGGCUACCUGGUACGAUGCUGUUUUCUUCUCCCUGUUGAAGGGGAGCAGCCGGAACACACUAUUUUGAUUAAACAACUAGAUUUUAAAGCCAUUUAAUCGGAAAUGAACGCUAACAAAGUGUGUUAUGUAAUUCUGAAUAUGUUGAAGUAUUACUUAUUUCUUUUAUGACAAAUAUCAUUCCAGUGUUAACCUGGUUUGGCAAAAUCGCAUUACAUACGGACAGGUUUUUUUUCACGGAUUUCGACAGGUGUCAUUAAUCAUUUCAUUCACAUUUCAUGGCAAAGUUCCCAGUAAACUGCGGUUUUAAACAGCCUACCCAAAUGCCUCAGUGACUCCAAUGACCUUGGUUUCAUUAUGGUGUUGAUACUUGUAAAAUCUAUUAUUUGUUUUUCUAAAAUAAGCACAGCAGCAAAGAACCUAGCUAUGGAUAGAUACGUUUGAAGAAAAAUUGUAUUUGAACUACAGCUUUUACUGAAACUGCCUAUUUUAUUGGAAACGUGCAAAAUUAUAUAUAUAUAUAUAUCUAUAUAUAUAUAUAUAGAUAUAUAUAUAGAUAUAUAUAUCUAUAUAUAUGCGACUUCUAUUGCUUUUUUAUUGGCCCGUUUAUUGUUGACAACUUGUCAGAGGAGAAUAAAUGAAAUUCUGAAUAGCAGAAAUGGGCAACAGCAGAAACCAUGUUUCUGAAUUUUGCCAUAUUGUUGGGCAUUUACUUCUGGCUUCUACUUAAACUGAAUACCAAGUUGUUGUGUUAGUGUCAGAACAAAGGCUAAAGUAAGACACUUUAAUUGUGGCUGUACCAUACAUCCCCAAACACAUUGAUGAAAUAUUGUUGUUGUUUUUUUUUUUGUAAUUUGAAAACCAAAAUGAACUAGCACGUGUAAUUUAGACAGAUUAGUUAACAGAUUAGUUAACAAUGGAUUAUUUGCAACUAAAAAUUCAAGGCAUAUUUUUUGUGUUGUUCCAACAUUGUAAAUAUUAUAAAAUGUAUGGGAUUAUAUGAAUCUAUUAGAAUUUGUUCUUGUGUUUUGAUCUUUGACAGGGGGGACAGGUAGGGUUACAGAUUGUUGAAACGUGUCACCCUAAAAAUAUAGUCCAAAACCUAAAGUGUAAGCUACGAUAUUUUUUUUUGUAUACAGUAUAUGUUUUGUUCUGUUGUGUUUUUGUGUCUAACAGACUUAUAAAAAGUUAUACCACCAUCAGAUUUAACAAAAACUCUGCACAUGCGCAGCUCAUUGCCAGUUGUUACUCCGUGCUGUGAGAACCACUGGCAGUGGUGUUGUAUGCUUUUCAAAAGUGCGGGGCAUGUUGUUUGCCUGUGGGGCGCAUUGGCUAUGAAUCGAGAUUCUUAAUAACUGUGUAUUUUAAGUUUUUAUUUUACAUAACGUCUUCCAGCUCCUUGUCAUCAUCACUCCUGGCUACAUCUUAAAAUAAAUCCUUCAUCAAAAUGACAGAAAUACUUUAUGGCUCAGUUUACACAACAAAAGCUUAAUCCAAAAUAAAAUUUUUUAUUUUUUCAUCUAAACAUGGUUUAACUUUUUACAGUAAUAUCACUUACAGGAUUUCUCUCGAAACAGUUGUUAAUCUUUUCUUAUCUUUUUCUUUUCUGCAUCUUAAUUGUAGUAAGUGACAAAAAGACAAACGUUGACA